GGAUACUAGAGAGCCUCAAAGAGGCACAGCUCUCUUGACCUUGAGGCCAGCUUCCUCCCACAGAUGGCCUCUAAGGAACCUGGUUGGCACAUAACUCAAGGAGCACCUGUUGGAAGACUGCAGGAAAGAAAGGCUGAAUCCAGCCGUUCUUGGAAGGUUUUCAAAGGGUAGAGUGGCAGCAGCUCCCCUUAGCCUCUGGAGCUGUCCUGUCUUUCUCUGGCUCUACCACUGCUGCCCAGCCACGGAGGGUCUGUUCAGUUCUCUGCUCAAGGGAAUUCCCCCGAGGAACUGGCCCUACGGAGAGCCACGCACCUAAGCUACAAGCCUAAAGAGCCAAUGGGGUUCUUCAUUCUGGGACAGGAAUGACCCAACUGUACUCAAAUUCCCUCACAAAAGGGGACAUGAAGGGGGCUGGUGGAUGCUGGAGUAGGGAAAAGCUGGACAAACUCAACCUGUUGAUGCUGGGUUUGGGGAGUAGCCAUCCUCUCUCCACUGAUAACCGAGCAAAAGGGAAGAUAUUAGAAUUGCAGCAUGAAGGAUUUUAGCUAGACAUCAAGUGGGCCUUCCAGAUGAUCAGGGCUCACUAUGAGUGGUUAAGGAACAUAGACUCUGAUCUCGGACACACCUCGGCUUGAAUAGAAGGUCUACCAAUACCAGCUCUGUGACUUUGGGCGAGGAUUUCACCUCUGUUUUUUUUUAAUACAUUUUUUA
Choloepus didactylus (southern two-toed sloth) is the source of this 711-nucleotide long non-coding RNA. RefSeq lists it as uncharacterized. NCBI's taxonomy places the organism in Eukaryota, Metazoa, Chordata, Mammalia, Pilosa, Megalonychidae. The transcript is spliced from 3 exons. The record is from RefSeq and is a predicted model, not a curated record.